Long non-coding RNA from Pygocentrus nattereri (red-bellied piranha), 883 nucleotides. RefSeq lists it as uncharacterized. The record is from RefSeq and is a predicted model, not a curated record. The transcript has 3 exons. Lineage: Eukaryota; Metazoa; Chordata; Actinopteri; Characiformes; Serrasalmidae.
GAAGCAACACGCGUCAGUUAGCGUGAUUUUCCCGCUAGUUGUCUGAAUAUAUCGAAAGUGUGAUGUUAGCCGUGUUGCGUUUCGAAGGUCCCGCGUCUAAAAUCUGAAUAAAUAAGAUUUAAUACCCUGUUUUGGGUGUAUUUAGUGUGUAAACACAGGGUGAGUUUAGACCUCCGUGACAGAACAGGCUCCUUACUACACUAUGUCUCGUUUUGCAGUCUGGCUUGAACGUUAACGUUACCUCAGAUGUAGCGUGUUACCAUUUAGCGUUAACCUAACUACCUUAAAAAUGUUAAAAAUGAAGUUCCCGAAUAUUCUUCGUCAAACGGGGCGGGAUGUGCAGGCAUUAGUCGUUAGUUAAAGCCGUUAAAGUCUCUAGUUUCGCUCGCUUAGCAUCUGAGGACAACAGAAUGGGAAAAAACAUAACUAGCUUAACAGCUAACCUGGGUUAGUUAACCUAACGCUAGCUAACCCGAGUUUCUUGCUUGUCGGCUCUUUCAGCCAACCCUGGGGGCAUUGAACGAUGUAGAAGAAUGUAUUGUUUCUAGUAGGUUACAGAACCUGUUCAUGGAAGUGCUCUUAAGAGAAAGGUAAAUCUGGCUGCCAGGCCCCAGUGUGGCAUGGAGGAUGCGUGUCCACUCAGCUGCUGUUGCCUUGUUUUCACAAUCUCCUGGAAGUACGUUCUGAAGUGACCCAUGAAGCAAGUAAACCAGAAAACAUAAGUGUCCCAAAAUUCCAGCUGUCUGCAAAGCAUCUCUUCUGCCUGAAUGUCAGACAUAGCCUUCCUGCCUGCUGUGACUUCUGUGGUUUUCAUUAUGACAAACACAGAGUUCAUUUUCAUGUACAUGUCCAUGGUUGCAGCAUUAAACUUCCACUGUUAUCA